UCGGAGCCUUAAAUUCUCCGCCAUCAGC
RNAcentral lists this small RNA (28 nucleotides) under Bombyx mori (domestic silkworm). Its description in RNAcentral is "ovarian small RNA-28932". The record is from RNAcentral. Lineage: Eukaryota; Metazoa; Arthropoda; Insecta; Lepidoptera; Bombycidae.